UUCUUCUUAGCUCAAUUGGUAGAGCACGUCACUCAGAUAGCGCAAGUUUGGAAAAUUGCUAUCUUAUGAUGACUGGUCGGUGGGUCGAACCAACUAGAAGGAA
This 103-nucleotide transfer RNA is filed under the name Rhodocollybia butyracea. It matches the Rfam family "tRNA". From Rfam's summary of the family: Transfer RNA (tRNA) molecules are approximately 80 nucleotides in length. Their secondary structure includes four short double-helical elements and three loops (D, anti-codon, and T loops). The record is from Rfam by way of RNAcentral. Lineage: Eukaryota; Fungi; Basidiomycota; Agaricomycetes; Agaricales; Omphalotaceae.